This is a long non-coding RNA of Nicotiana attenuata, 366 nucleotides long. RefSeq lists it as uncharacterized. The record is from RefSeq and is a predicted model, not a curated record. The transcript is spliced from 2 exons. Lineage: Eukaryota; Viridiplantae; Streptophyta; Magnoliopsida; Solanales; Solanaceae.
AAAUUAGUAAGUGCUAUUUAGGUCAGUUUGCGAGUACACCUUAACUAUUCUAUAGGGUAUCUAUUAUUUCUCACCGAUAUGGAUACUGGAACGCUCUAUUCACCAAAAUUCAGUACAAGAGUUAAAAGCUGAAGUUAUAGCCAAUCCAUGCAUCCCAGUUGUUGAUCAAGGCGCACCUCCCAAACGGUGUUGCACUGUGGAUAAAGCAUGCUAUGUUUCUCCGGAUACAUGUCAUGCUAGUUGUCACUAAUUAAUGAUUAAUAUUCAAGAAAAAUAAUGUUAAUUCGUAUUGUUACUUUAGCUGAUGUAUAAUUAAAAUAAAAGAAGUUGAUUAUCAUUAAUAAAGUUCAGUUUCAGUUAUCCAUA